GUCUGGGCGUUGUUUUUGCUAUAUACGGGCCUUUCCAACCACGUGGCAUACGCUAGAUGACUCAAAGGUAAUUGGGUUGCUAAAGAGGUUAUUUUUGGGUUUCCUGGUUAUGAUUUGGAGUUGGAUUCCUCUGAGAUUUUGCUUCUCAAAGAGGAUGAGUCUAAGAAGUAGCAAAGAAAUAAAAUGAAAUUGAGACUCUAUCAUUGGAGGGAGAAUGUACGAUGGCUAAUUAUAAGACAAUACGUGCAGAACAUUUCCAGCACACAUUACACAUUCUACUUUUGUAACACCCACCAUUUUCCGAUGUCAGAAGUUUUUCACUGAUAAAAUAUUUUAGCAAAAUUCAAGAUUCCACAGGUAAGGGAAUGGUGGUGGAAAGU
RNAcentral lists this unclassified non-coding RNA (380 nucleotides) under Hevea brasiliensis (rubber tree). Lineage: Eukaryota; Viridiplantae; Streptophyta; Magnoliopsida; Malpighiales; Euphorbiaceae. The record is from RNAcentral.